Molecule: long non-coding RNA, 1757 nt
Organism: Brassica rapa (field mustard)
Lineage: Eukaryota; Viridiplantae; Streptophyta; Magnoliopsida; Brassicales; Brassicaceae
Source: RefSeq, a predicted model, not a curated record
UCUCUCUUGAAUUAGUUAAUGAUACAAUUAUUUUAUAAUAUAAACAAAUUUUUUAAAAACUUCUAAACACGUUUUUAUUAUUUGCAGAUAUAUUUGGAUCCGUUUGACAAAAAAAAAAAGUAAUGGGUUUUUAAACAACCCUUAUUGGGCUACUCUAAAACCUCCAGUAUAGGAUUUAAAGUUUAAACCUAUGUAGAUUCUUUAAAUCAAUGUUUGACUCGGCGUUAUAACUGGAUCAAUAAUCGGAUUGGUCCAACCGAUUCAACCAAAUUUUAAAUUUUAAUUAAAUUUAUAUUAAGUAACUAUAUAUAUAUAUAUUUAUAUCAUUGUUAGAAUCUAAAAAAAAAAUAUCAUUUUUAUUUUAUUUUUUCCUCUCAAAAUAACAUUCUUGUAUGUUUAAAGUAAAUCAUAGAUGAAUAUUUCUUUUUAACAUAGAUGAAUGUUAUUUUGGCAUACAUUAGAAUAAAUUUCAUCUUUAUCAAAGAUUUUUUUUUUAAUUUAGAAGAAAAAAGUAUAGAUAAUAACAAACUUCCCUACCAAAUAGAGCAAAUAAAUUAACAAAUUACUGGAACGCCAGAUUAUUUGUUAUUUAAAAAUAGAUUAAUGAAAUUGUAUUUUGGGCAAUUUUCUCAAAUAACAUUUUUUAAGUUUUUAUCACAAAAUAGCCCUAAAACAAUGAUCAAAAUAGCUUCUUUUUAUUUUGAAAAUUUUAAUUUUAAUUUUUAAUUUUUUAUUUAAUUUGAAACCCUAUCUCCAAAAUUUUACUCCUUAACUCCAAAUCAUAAAUCUAAAUUAGUUAACUCUAGGAUAAAAAUAUAUUUUUAUCAUAAUAAAAAUUAUUUGGUCAUUUUCUUUAUUAAAACUAUUUUUUGCGAUAAAAACUAAAAAAUGUUAUCUGAGGGAAUUUUUUUUGUAUUUUUCUACUUGUAAAUAAAUGGCCUUUGAACCCCGUUAAAGGGCCUAAUUUCUCCGUUUCCGGUUUUACUUGUUAACUUGGUCCGAAUGUUAUUGAGCUUUUAAGCCCAUUGAACAAUAAUCUGGCGUCGUGUUGGAAUUAGAAGACCAAACAAAAGACAGGCGUGCGUGUUGUUUCAUAGGGAUGAUCUAAAUCAUAAUUUCUCCACUUCAUUUCCAUACUUUAUUUUAUUUUAAAACCACUUUUAUCUUUGGGAUCUAUGGUAUUAAUCAUGAUAUUGCUUUGACGGACUAAAGCCUAAAGUGCUUUUCACACUUGGUUAAGGCUGCAUUCUCUAAUAUGGACACACAGAACGUUUUUUUUUCACACAAGACAUGGUUCUCCAUACUUUUUCAAAUCUAUACAUUGUGAUGAUAAAAAAACAUCUAGUACUUAUGGAUCUCGAAGAAACAGAUAAUAUCAUAUAUAGACGUUACAUAUUCAAACUAACAAUGGCAAAAAAAUGGCUUGAUAAAAAAGUGGCUUGCAUUGCAUGCCGCGGUAAAAAUCUACGCCACGUUGGCAAAAAGAGAGACAGAGUGUGUGUUGACUGUUUGGUAAGAAAAGUUUGAUAUUCAGUAGUGUUAUUGACAAGGAUUUAACAGGAAACAGAAACAGAGUACUCACCAAUCAUUUGAACACAGUAAGAAACAACAAGAAAAGAAAACGCGUGCCAUUCACGACAUCUUUGGCCCCUCUCGAGCGAGGCGUGAUUAAGUAAAAAAUAUUACAAAAUUAUGUAUAUAAUAAAAAUAGAAACGUUUAAUAUUUUAUUUCAUACAUAGAUUUGCAGGUGUUCUUC